AUUAUGAUGCCGCUGCCAUGUGAUUACUGGUUCGAGGGAUUGGAAAGAAACUGCCCCAAGUUUCAGGAAUGGAUUACCAGCAAACUGUAACUAUCACUGAUACGCUGACUGAUGGCAUUUGUUACAUGACACUGACGAUGAAAGCCGAGGACAGCUCAGCUCUUUUACAGUCGUCUGGAGGUACGCAGACAUGGAGCACAUGCUGGUUGAACAGGAACCCCGGUGGCUGUAGGAGCUGCAGCCUCGGCCGCCUCUUCAUCGUCCUGUUCCCUCCUCAUCCUCAUCAGCUGCAACUUCAGCUCCUGUAGCAAAAGAACAGAAUCCAAAUCCUCCACUGGUCGUCCCGACGUCUGGUCAUCCAUAACCUGCUGCCAUCUUCAGCUGUUGUCAUGGCCUCUGCUGCUCUGGAGCUGAUGGGCUUCUUCCUGGGCCUGCUGGGGAUGCUGGGUACUCUGGUGGCCACCGUGCUUCCGUACUGGCAGAUUUCAGCCCACAUCGGCUCCAACAUCGUGACGGCCGUGGCCAACAUGAGGGGCCUGUGGAUGGAGUGCGUGUACCAGAGCACCGGAGCCUUCCAGUGUGAGACCUACAACUCCAUGCUGGCCCUGCCCUCAGACCUGCAGGCCUCUAGAGCCCUCAUGGUCAUCUCUUUGGUGCUGUCUGUUUUUGCCAUCGCCAUGUCGUCCCUGGGGAUGCAGUGCACCUUGUGCCUGGAGGGCACCGGUGCCGUCAAGAGUCGCAUGGCGGGUGCUGGAGGCGGCCUGUUCCUCGCCGCCGGCUUCCUGGCGCUCAUACCCGUGGCGUGGACCACUCACGAAGUCGUCCAGACCUUCUAUCGACCCAACGUGCCCGCGAGCAUGAAGUUUGAGCUGGGAGAGUGCCUGUACGUGGGCCUGGCCUCCGCGCUCAUCUCCAUGUUGGGAGGGGGGAUGCUGAGCGUGUCGUGCUGCGAGGAUCAGGACGGAGCCCGCGGAAGACGGGCCGGAGGCGGGUAUCCAUAUCCGGUAGGUAAUGGUUUAGCGGGCGCAGGGCCGCGGACGACCUCACAAAUGUACCGCAACCCCACCCUGCAGGCAGGGGGCGUCAACACGGCCAGCAGAGGCCCCACCCUGGUCCGCAGUACCAGCAACAGCUCGCACUCCAGCGCACAUGCAGCCCAGGGAGCCAAAAAGCCCACAGCGGCAGGAUAUGACAUCACAGGGUACGUCUGACAAUGGCGACAGAUCACCGCAAUCAGCUGAUGAGUUCCUCACACAUCAUGUGACACGUCAGCCUGUUCGGACUGACUCUGAAACAUUUCAUUUCAUAUGUUAGAGGAGGGUCUUUUUCUAAAGCUUUUUGAACUCUUCUCAAAUAUAAAGGACCAUUUAGAGCACAGGUGUCAAACAUGCGGCCUGGGGGCCAAAUCUGGCCCACCAAAGGGUCCAGUCCGGCCCACGGGAUGAAUCUGUGAAAUGCAAAAAU
RNA transcript from Sphaeramia orbicularis (orbiculate cardinalfish), 1464 nucleotides. It is a transcript of the gene named claudin 2, with no coding region annotated. The transcript has 4 exons. The record is from RefSeq and is a predicted model, not a curated record. Lineage: Eukaryota; Metazoa; Chordata; Actinopteri; Kurtiformes; Apogonidae.